UGCUGAAGCCACAAACUAACGGGUGUAUAU
RNAcentral lists this non-coding RNA (30 nucleotides) under Mus musculus (house mouse). Lineage: Eukaryota; Metazoa; Chordata; Mammalia; Rodentia; Muridae. The record is from RNAcentral.